UACGUAGGGGGCUAGCGUUGUCCGGAAUUAUUGGGCGUAAAGCGCGUGUAGGCGGUUUGUUAAGUCUGUUGUGAAAGCCCUGGGCUCAACCCAGGAAGUGCACUGGAUACUGGCAGACUUGAAUACGGGAGAGGGUAGUGGAAUUCCUGGUGUAGGAGUGAAAUCCGUAGAUAUCAGGAGGAACACCGGUGGCGAAGGCGGCUACCUGGACCGAUAUUGACGCUGAGACGCGAAAGCGUGGGUAGCAAACAGG
Molecule: ribosomal RNA, 253 nt
Filed under: uncultured bacterium
Lineage: Bacteria
Description: partial 16S ribosomal RNA
Rfam family: Bacterial small subunit ribosomal RNA
Source: RNAcentral